RNAcentral lists this ribosomal RNA (466 nucleotides) under uncultured bacterium. RNAcentral's name for it is "partial 16S ribosomal RNA". It matches the Rfam family "Bacterial small subunit ribosomal RNA", at positions 29 to 507 of the family's 1533-position model. The record is from RNAcentral.
AAUGAACGUUGGCGGCAUGGAUUAGGCAUGCAAGUCGAGCGCGAAACGUAGCAAUACGUGGAGAGCGGCGAAAGGGAGAGGAAUAUGUGGGAACCUACCUUCGGGCCUGGAAUAGCGGCGGGAAACUGCCGGUAAUGCCAGAUAACGUCCCCGGACCAAAGGUGUGAUUCCGCCUGGAGAUGGGCCCACAUCCUAUCAGCUUGUUGGUGUGGUAACGGCGCACCAAGGCUAAGACGGGUAUGGGGUGUGAGAGCAUGCCCCCACUCACUGGGACUGAGACACUGCCCAGACAACUACGGGUGGCUGCAGUCGAGAAUCUUCGGCAAUGAGCGCAAGCUUGACCGAGCGAUGCCGCGUGCGGGAUGAAGGCCCUCGGGUUGUAAACCGCUGUCGUAGGGGAAUAACGGUCGGUGGGUUCGCCCAUCGAUUUGAAUGAUCCUAGGAGGAAGGACGGGCUAAGUUCGUG